This 254-nucleotide ribosomal RNA is filed under the name uncultured bacterium. RNAcentral describes it as "partial 16S ribosomal RNA". It matches the Rfam family "Bacterial small subunit ribosomal RNA", at positions 79 to 334 of the family's 1533-position model. The record is from RNAcentral.
CUUUCUUUGCUGGCGACCGGCGCACGGGUGAGUAACACGUAUCCAACCUGCCCUUUACUCGGGGAUAGCCUCUCGAAAGAAAGAUUAAUACCCGAUAGCAUAAUGAUUCCGCAUGGUUUCAUUAUUAAAGGAUUCCGGUAAAGGAUGGGGAUGCGUUCCAUUAGGUUGUUGGUGAGGUAACGGCCCACCAAGCCUUCGAUGGAUAGGGGUUCUGAGAGGAAGGUCCCCCACAUUGGAACUGAGACACGGUCCAA